This 1613-nucleotide long non-coding RNA is filed under the name Struthio camelus australis. RNAcentral describes it as "lncRNA (ENSSCUG00000016960.1)". Lineage: Eukaryota; Metazoa; Chordata; Aves; Struthioniformes; Struthionidae. The record is from RNAcentral.
CUAGGUGACCGUGCUUGAGCAGGGGGGUGUGGACUAGAUGAUCUCCAGAGGUCCCUUCCAACCUUGGUCAUUCUGUGAUUCUGUGAAAUUUCAUUGCUACUUGACACUACUCUUAAGUUGGGACCUAUCCUGAUUGUCAAACCAAUGAAAGAGACCUGUAUUUCUUCUUAAAGAAAUAAUUGAGUAAUAUUUUGCUAAUCUGACUAAUGUAACUCAAAAGAUUAUAUUUUGUGUCUAUAAUAUAGUCAAUGCCAGUGUUUUAGAGCUCUGAGUAAUACAUAAUUAGUGCUUGUUACUUUUUUAGGCUCUAAGUUUGUAAUAUUAUGGUUUUUGGCAAAGGAGUCUUCACACCUGUGCUGUUUGCAUUGAAAUUCUGGAUAACAUUAGCGUAACUGCUCUGUUCCCCCUACAGAAACUUCAGGAAAAGAAAAGAACCAAUGGACGGACUUUUAAAAGUAUCUUUAAACUUCAGUAUCAAGGAAACUGAAACUGACCCAGCAGGUUUUGCAUCUACUGAUCCCAGAGAGCAACUGAAUUUAUUCCUUCCUACCCACUGCUGCAGAAGCAAAACUUCAGUUUUUCUAAACUGAUGCCCGUGUCUACUCCAGCUCAGUUCUAGGAACAAGUUACUGUAUUUUUUUCUACUAGGAAAUCCAACCUAAAGGUAUGACUCUUAAGUAGUCUGUCACCCAGAACUUCUAUGUCAUACAGUGCUAUCUACAUUCCAUAUAGUGAAAAUAUCCCACAUCCACACCCCAAAUAGAUCCAUAAAUUCUUUAAAACCUUAUUUCACAUUAACAUACGCACACAAAAUAUGGGCCUUACUAUGUUCUGGACCAUCAGACUUUGUGAAUGAGUCAUGCAGAAUCCCCUCCUAGAACUGCAGGACCGCCACUAAAGGUGUGCAUGAGGAAUGUCUCAACAGGCACUGAAACUCUCCAUUGAUUUUGGUGGGUAUCUGCUCUGCUUCCCCAGCCCGACUUCCCCUUUGAAAGAAUAAUUAAACAGCCUACACUGAUUAUCAUGUAAGUGAUUAUUGUUUAAAAGGGAUUUAAAUUAUAUAGCGGUAAAGAAGAACUAGUUAGAUGGAAUCUACUACCAGUGUUUUGAAAACAUUGCUUUAGGUAGCAAGUUCUUAAGGAGUAAUUUGUCCCAGAUCUGGACUUAUUUCCUCAAUUUGACAUGUACUCUCUUUUGAGGGAUGGGGAAAUCAACCCAACAUCUGUAUUUAUAAGAAUCUCUUCUAAAUUUCUUGUCUGUUUGCUUCAUAUAUUUCUGAAUUCUGUUGUUUUGUUAAAGCAGUAGUUUAUGAGUGCAUGCAGAAAUAUCUGGGCAGGGGAAGGGAGUAAAAAGUAGCCAUCAUAAAGAAUAAUCAUGUGGAGUACAAACAAGGCACUGAAUGACUUUGCUGCUUAUUUUUUGUGUUGGUAGGAUUUGCAGUCUAAAAAGCUUUCACAGAAUCACAGAAUGACCAAGGUUGGAAGGGACCUCUGGAGAUCAUCUAGUCCACACCCCCCUGCUCAAGCACAGUCACCUAGGGCAUAUUUCCCAGCAUAUUUCACGCGUCCAGACGGGUUUUGAAUAUCUCCAGGGAAGGAGACUCCACUACCUCU